CCCUAUGGGGUGACCAAAACGGUUAUUCAUCAACGCAUCACAAACGCCAAGCAGCUUCCGGUUUUUGUUGAACGCUGGCGUGUGGCUCAUGAACCGGUGCAAAGCGGUGCCUGGACGCAAGCUCUGCUCAAGCUGGCGGAUGAAAAAGCGGAAAUGGUGGAGAUCGACCGCAAGCGGGCGUUGAAGCGGCGCGAUCUGAUCCUUUCGCUUAAAGGCGGGCAUGAAAUUGCCAAGUAAAAGCAAUCCAUAUAUAAUGAUUAUCAAGAAAGGAAAUUGGCGCAGGAGACUGCGCUAAUUUUAUGGUGGAUUAUGGAUGCCUUAACAUCCCGGAAAAUUUCAAUGAAUGCAAAACAAUUUAUGGCUGAUGGAUAUCAUUGUUCCGAAUCCAUAUUACUGGCGGCGGGAGAGC
Molecule: ribosomal RNA, 409 nt
Filed under: uncultured prokaryote
Description: partial 16S ribosomal RNA
Source: RNAcentral